GGGUCAGCAGGUCGGUCGUGCCUUACGGGGUAUGAACUGGUGUAGCCAAUUUCUCACCUUCUGGAGAACCGCGAUGUCCUUAAUUGGGUGCCGCGAGGAACCAGGACCUUUACUUUGAAAAAUUAGAGUGUUUAAAGCAGGCAUUUUGCUUGAAUACAUUAGCAUGGAAUAAUAAAAUAGGACGGCAUGAUUCUAUUUUGUUGGUUUCUAGGAUCACCGUAAUGA
Molecule: ribosomal RNA, 225 nt
Filed under: uncultured Glomeromycotina
Lineage: Eukaryota; Fungi; Glomeromycota
Description: partial small subunit ribosomal RNA
Rfam family: Eukaryotic small subunit ribosomal RNA (bases 96-225)
Source: RNAcentral